This is an RNA transcript of Corylus avellana, 952 nucleotides long. It is a transcript of the gene named V-type proton ATPase subunit F, with no coding region annotated. Lineage: Eukaryota; Viridiplantae; Streptophyta; Magnoliopsida; Fagales; Betulaceae. The record is from RefSeq and is a predicted model, not a curated record.
UCUUGCUCUAAUUGGGAGGAAGGAGAAAUCCAAGAAAGUCGUGGAUUUGGAAGUCCCAGCCAUCCGAUCUCACCCAGUUGAAUAAUACAAAUUAAAAUGGCCCGUCGAGCUCAAGUCCCCAAUAAAAGCUCAGCACUUAUUGCUAUGAUUGCCAAUGAGGACACUGUAACUGGAUUCUUGCUGGCUGGUGUGGGUAAUGUCGACUUGCGGAGAAAGACAAACUAUCUUAUUGUUGAUUCAAAAACAACAGUCAAAGCGAUUGAAGAUGCAUUCAAAGAGUUCACGUCAAAAGAGGACAUUGCUAUUAUUCUAAUCAGCCAAUAUGUUGCAAACACGAUAAGGUUCUUGGUUGAUAGCUACAAUAAGCCAGUACCAGCUAUUUUGGAGAUCCCUUCCAAGGAUCAUCCUUAUGACCCUGCUCAUGAUUCAGUUCUUUCACGUGUGAAGUAUCUCUUCUCUGCUGAAUCCGUGGCAUCCGGACGGCGUUGAAUAUGUCUAAAUUUUCUACCGUUCAGGUUGCAGACGCUAUCAUUCUUCUAGUUGAGAACUACAUAUGUGCACACCAUUGUUAUGGUGAUAAUAGGAACAAGUUGCCAUGUUGAAUGUUAAGAAGAUAGGAGUUCAUCCUUUUCAAACUACAGUUGCUUCUGAUCCUUUGUGUCCAUUCCUUUGUUUUCUUAAGAUUCUUUUAGUGUUUAUCCUCCAAUUUGGGCAAGACACUGCAAUUCUUAGCAACUUAACGAGUGGUUCACCUGCUUGUCUGUAUUUUUACUUUUAAUUCAUCCCAGAAGUGCAACUCUAAAGGAAUGCUGAAAGCAAUUCAUAGUAAAAGUUGCCAUGUUGAAUGUUAAUAAUGCACGGUAUAUUAGAUUGGUUUGUAUCAAUUAGUUACAAACUAGUUUGUAACUAAUUUCUGUCCUUUCUUUUUAUUUUUUAUUUUAUUGAGCGUUUC